RNAcentral lists this ribosomal RNA (401 nucleotides) under uncultured bacterium. RNAcentral describes it as "partial 16S ribosomal RNA". It matches the Rfam family "Bacterial small subunit ribosomal RNA", at positions 338 to 734 of the family's 1533-position model. The record is from RNAcentral.
CCUACGGGAGGCAGCAGUGAGGAAUAUUGGUCAAUGGACGCAAGUCUGAACCAGCCAAGUAGCGUGCAGGAUGACGGCCCUCCGGGUUGUAAACUGCUUUUAGUUGGGAAUAAAAGGGGGCUUGUGAGCCCCGAAUGGUAUGUACCAUCCGCAAAAUGACCGGCUAAUUCCGUGCCAGCAGCCACGGUAAUACGGAGGGUCCGGGCGUUAUCCGGAUUGAUUGGGUUUAAAGGGAGCGUAGGCAGGCUUUUAAGUCAGCAGUGAAAGGCCGCGGCUCAACCGUGGAAUUGCAGUUGAAACUGGAGGCCUUGAGUGCAGACAGGGAUGCGAGAAUUCAUGGUGUAGCGGUGAAAUGCGUAGAUAGCAUGAAGAACGCCGAUCGCGAAGGCGAGUGUCCGGGG